Molecule: ribosomal RNA, 2822 nt
Filed under: Veillonella sp.
Lineage: Bacteria; Bacillati; Bacillota; Negativicutes; Veillonellales; Veillonellaceae
Description: 23S ribosomal RNA
Rfam family: Bacterial large subunit ribosomal RNA
Source: RNAcentral
GGUCAAGUUAUUAAGGGUGCAGGGCGGAUGCCUUGGCACUAGGAGCCGAUGAAGGACGUGAUAAGCUGCGAUAAGCUUCGGGGAGUUGCACGUAAACUUUGAUCCGAAGAUUUCCGAAUGAGGAAACUCACUUAGAGUAAUGUCUAAGUAUCAUUAAGUGAAUACAUAGCUUAAUGAGGGGAACUCAGGGAACUGAAACAUCUAAGUACCUGAAGGAAGAGAAAGAAAUUCGAUUCCGUAAGUAGCGGCGAGCGAACGCGGAUUAGCCCAAACCAAUAAAGUUUUCUUUAUUGGGGUUGCGGACAUAUCAUAACGAAGAGGUAUCGUAAUUGAAGAGGUUUGGAAAGACCCACCACAGAAGGUAAUAGUCCUGUAUGUUAAACGAGAAGACUUUAGAUAUGAUCCAGAGUACCACGGGACACGUGAAACCCUGUGGGAAGCAGGAGGGACCACCCUCCAAGGCUAAAUACUACCUAGUGACCGAUAGCGUAUAGUACCGUGAGGGAAAGGUGAAAAGAACCCCGGGAGGGGAGUGAAAUAGAACCUGAAACCCUGCACUUACAAGCUGUGGAAGCACAUUUCUUGUGUGACCGCGUACUUUUUGUAGAACGGGCCAACGAGUUACGUUAAGUAGCAAGGUUAAGCACUUAAGGUGCGGAGCCGUAGCGAAAGCGAGUUUUAACUGAGCGUUCAGUUACUUGACGUAGACCCGAAACCGGGCGACCUACCCAUGAGCAGGAUGAAGCGAAAGUAAAAUUUCGUGGAGGUCCGAACCCACGAGCGUUGAAAAGCUCGGGGAUGACUUGUGGGUAGCGGUGAAAUUCCAAUCGAGCCCGGAGAUAGCUGGUUCUCCCCGAAAUAGCUUUAGGGCUAGCCUCAAGGUGAGAGAUACGGAGGUAGAGCACUGAAUGUCCUAGGGGGUAUUGCACCUACCGAAGACUAUCAAACUCCGAAUGCCGUCAUCUUAUACUUGGGAGUCAGACUGUGGGUGAUAAGAUUCAUAGUCGAAAGGGCAACAGCCCAGAUCGUCAGCUAAGGUCCCUAAAUGUAAGUUAAGUGGUAAAGGAUGUGGGAUUGCACAGACAACCAGGAUGUUGGCUUAGAAGCAGCCACUCAUUCAAAGAGUGCGUAAUAGCUCACUGGUCGAGUGAUCCUGCGCCGAAGAUUUCCGGGGCUAAAACUUACUACCGAAGCUACGGCAUCAGUAAUGAUGGGUAGGGGAGCUUCCCAUACGGGUUGAAGCAUGACCGUAAGGACAUGUGGACAGUAUGGGAGUGAGAAUGUUGGCAUGAGUAGCGAGAUGUGGGUGAGAAUCCCACAGGCCGUAAACCCAAGGUUUCCAGGGGAAGGUUCGUCCGCCCUGGGUUAGUCGGGACCUAAGCUGAGGCCGAAAGGCGUAGGUGAUGGACAACAGGUUGAUAUUCCUGUACUACCGAUAACCGUUUGAGAGAAGGGAUGACACAGUAGGAUAAGCUAAGCACACUGUUGGUUAUGUGUGCCCAAGCAUUGAGGCAGUCAAAGUAGGCAAAUCCGCUUUGAUAAUGCUGGGAUGUGAUGGGGAGCGAAAUUUAGUAGCGAAGUAGCUGAUUUCACACUGUCAAGAAAAGUCUCUAUCGAGGUUAAAGGUACCCGUACCGCAAACCGACACAGGUGGGUGAGGAGAGUAUCCUAAGGCCAGCGAGAGAACUGUUGUUAAGGAACUCGGCAAAAUGACCCCGUAACUUAGGGAUAAGGGGUGCCACCAUCAGGUGGCCGCAGAGAAUAGGCCCAAGCGACUGUUUACCAAAAACAUAGGUUUCUGCUAAGUCGCAAGACGAUGUAUAGGAGCUGACGCCUGCCCGGUGCUGGAAGGUUAAGGGGAUCUGUUAGAGCAAUCGAAGCAGUGAACUUAAGCCCCAGUAAACGGCGGCCGUAACUAUAACGGUCCUAAGGUAGCGAAAUUCCUUGUCGGGUAAGUUCCGACCCGCACGAAAGGCGUAACGAUUUGGGGUAACGAUUUGGGCACUGUCUCAACAACAGACUCGGUGAAAUUGUAAUUCCGGUGAAGAUGCCGGAUACCUGCGACAGGACGGAAAGACCCCAUGGAGCUUUACUGUAGCUUGACAUUGGGUCUUGGUACUACAUGUACAGGAUAGGUGGGAGGCUUUGAAACCAGGACGCCAGUUUUGGCGGAGCCAUCCUUGGGAUACCACCCUUGUAGUACUGGGACUCUAACCAUAGGCCAUGAAUCUGGUCUUGGGACACUGUCAGGUGGGCAGUUUGACUGGGGCGGUCGCCUCCCAAAAGGUAACGGAGGCGCUCAAAGGUUCUCUCAGUACGGUCGGAAAUCGUACGUAGAGUGUAAAGGCAAAAGAGAGCUUGAUUGCAAGACAUACAGGUCGAGCAAGGAUGAAAAUCGGACUUAGUGAUCCGGUGGUUCUGCGUGGAAGGGCCAUCGCUCAACGGAUAAAAGCUACCCUGGGGAUAACAGGCUUAUCUCCCCCAAGAGUCCACAUCGACGGGGAGGUUUGGCACCUCGAUGUUGAGACAGUUCGGUCCCUAUCCGUCGCAGGCGUAGGAAAUUUGAGAAGACCUGUCCUUAGUACGAGAGGACCGGGAUGGACGUACCUCUGGUGUACCAGUUGUCCUGCCAAGGGCAUGGCUGGGUAGCUAUGUACGGAAUGGAUAAGCGCUGAAAGCAUCUAAGCGCGAAGCCAACUUCAAGAUAAGAUUUCCCACCGCAAGGGUAAGACCCCAGAAAGACUAUCUGGUUGAUAGGUCGAAGGUGUAAGUGCAGCAAUGUAUUUAGCUUAUCGAUACUAAUAGGUCGAGGACUUGACCAA